RNAcentral lists this ribosomal RNA (511 nucleotides) under uncultured bacterium. RNAcentral's name for it is "bacterial SSU rRNA". It matches the Rfam family "Bacterial small subunit ribosomal RNA", at positions 29 to 518 of the family's 1533-position model. The record is from RNAcentral.
AACGAACGCUGGCGGCGUGCUUAACACAUGCAAGUCGAACGCGAAAGGGACUUCGGCCCUGAGUAAAGUGGCGCACGGGUGAGUAACGCGUAGAUAACCUGUCUUCAUGUCUGGAAUAAUACGCCGAAAGGGGUACUAAUACCGGAUAUUCUUGCUUUUCAUAAGUUAUGCAAGCAAAGGUGGCCUCUGCAUAUGCUACUGCAUGAAGAGGGGUCUGCGUACCAUUAGCUAGUAGGUGGGGUAAUGGCCUACCUAGGCGACGAUGGUUAGCGGGUCUGAGAGGAUGAUCCGCCACACUGGCACUGGAACACGGGCCAGACUCCUACGGGAGGCAGCAGUGAGGAAUAUUGCGCAAUGGGGGAAACCCUGACGCAGCGACGCCGCGUGAAUGAAGGAAGGCCUUCGGGUCGUAAAGCUCUGUCAAGAGGAAAGAAGUGUACAACGGCUAAUACCUGUUGUAUUUGACGGUACCUCUAAAGGAAGCACCGGCUAACUCCGUGCCAGCAGCAGC